RNAcentral lists this ribosomal RNA (1041 nucleotides) under Clytini sp. IBE JGZ-3875. RNAcentral describes it as "partial large subunit ribosomal RNA". It matches the Rfam family "Eukaryotic large subunit ribosomal RNA", at positions 111 to 876 of the family's 3401-position model. The record is from RNAcentral. Lineage: Eukaryota; Metazoa; Arthropoda; Insecta; Coleoptera; Cerambycidae.
AGCACCGAAUCCCGCGGCCGAUAUCGGACGCCGGGAAAUGUGGUGUUAGGGAGGAUCCGUUUAUCCCGAGGUCGUGCGGUGCGUCCAAGUCCUUCUUGAACGGGGCCACAGCCCAUAGAGGGUGCCAGGCCCGUAGCGACCGCUGCCGAUCGCGGGAGGAUCUCUCCUCAGAGUCGGGUUGCUUGAGAGUGCAGCCCUAAGUGGGUGGUAAACUCCAUCUAAGGCUAAAUAUGACCACGAGACCGAUAGCGAACAAGUACCGUGAGGGAAAGUUGAAAAGCACUUUGAAGAGAGAGUUCAAGAGUACGUGAAACCGUUCAGGGGUAAACCUGAGAAGCCCGAAAGGUCGAAUGGGGAAAUUCAUUCGCGUUUCGACCGUCGGCGUGGGAUGGUCGAGUGACGGACGGCGUACGCGUCGUCCGCGCCUUCCGUUCUUCGAACCGGCGUCGAACGCGUGCACUUUUCCCCUAGUAGGACGUCGCGAUCCGUUGGGUGUCGGUCUACGGCUCGCGGUGGAGCCCGUGCGGUCGCUUUACGGCGUAUCGCACGGACCCGCGGUGUCCCGGCCGACUCGCUCGACGGUAUACAGAUGGCGCGGGGCCGCUACUACAGUUAGCGUUCGGCCCGCGGCAAGCGCGUUCGUUGUAUGACGGCGAUCGGACCUGGUGCCGGUCCUGUCCGCGAACGACUGUUGGCUGCGGUGUUCUCGAACAGACCUCGUAACGAAACGCCGAUCUGCGACGCUAUAGCUUUGGGUACUUUCAGGACCCGUCUUGAAACACGGACCAAGGAGUCUAGCAUGUGCGCGAGUCAUUGGGACAUAACUAAACCUAAAGGCGUAAUGAAAGUGAAGGUCCGCCUUGCGCGGAUCUAGGGAGGAUGGGCGGUUUUUGAUGCCCUUAAAAGCGGCCGCUCCGCACUCCCGGGGCGUCUCGUUCUCAUCGCGAGAAGAGGCGCACCAAGAGCGUACACGCUGGGACCCGAAAGAUGGUGAACUAUGCCUGGUCAGGACGAAGUCAGGGGAAACCCUGAUGGAGGUCC